CUAUCACCAGUGCUGAGACUUCUCAUUGAGCUGCAUUGUGAAGUCUGUGAUUGGACAGCCACAGAAUGUCUGGACUGGAGAAGAAGGGGAGGGCUUGUGCAAGCGGUUUUAAGAUAAACCCUCAAUGAAAAUAUGCAAAAUAAAUACAUGCAUGUUUUAACUGGGGGAAUAUCUACUAAACAAUUAUUAUUAAUCCCAAACAUGGAAACCCUUCAUUUGCAUCUUUAAGAGCAAGA
This is a non-coding RNA of Pelobates cultripes (western spadefoot toad), 236 nucleotides long. The record is from the annotation of a GenBank genome assembly. NCBI's taxonomy places the organism in Eukaryota, Metazoa, Chordata, Amphibia, Anura, Pelobatidae.